GGGGGUAUAGCUCAGCUGGGAGAGCAGCAGACUGAAGUAAUCAAUGAACUAGUGACCAUAGUUAUUCUUCUGAAGGUCCCGCGUUCGAUCCGCGGUACCCCCA
Non-coding RNA from Marasmius tenuissimus, 103 nucleotides. The record is from the annotation of a GenBank genome assembly. Lineage: Eukaryota; Fungi; Basidiomycota; Agaricomycetes; Agaricales; Marasmiaceae.